This is an RNA transcript of Sphaerodactylus townsendi, 2463 nucleotides long. It is a transcript of the gene named emerin, with no coding region annotated. The record is from RefSeq and is a predicted model, not a curated record. Lineage: Eukaryota; Metazoa; Chordata; Lepidosauria; Squamata; Sphaerodactylidae. The transcript has 10 exons.
GCUGGGGAGGGGAAGGGAAGGGAAGGGCAGGGGAGGGGAGGGCGCCGAUCUCGGCUCCCCAAGCCCGGCCCCUCCCCGCCGCCUGACUCACUUCCCUUCUGGGGCAGCCGACUCCGGAGCCCAGCCCAGCCCAGCCCUGCCCUGCCCGGCCCGGCGCGCUCGGACAGCCAGGCAGCAUCAUGGAGGAGUACAGAGGGUUAACGGAUAAUGAGCUGAUCGCCCGCUUGAAGAAAUACGCCAUCCCCCACGGACCUGUUGUUGGAACAACUCGGAAAAUUUAUGAGAAGAAAAUCUACGAAUAUGAGAAGGAGCGGACGAAGAACCCCGGGAGAGCAGAGGCUUACACAGAGCCAAGGAGCACCCACAGCUACACACGAGAGACCUUUGUGAGUCCUCGGAGCAAGGAAGACUUCAACUAUGGGAGAGAAGCUGUUGGCUCCACAAAGUCGUUUCUAAAGGAAAGCUAUGACUCCCCAAGAAAUGUGGAAUAUACUGAACAUGGGAAUGAAGAUCCUAGUCCCAUAAAGUCCUACCUGAGUUAUAACUACAGGUUCCCCCGCCAUGAAGGACGUUCCACAUACAUAACGGAAGAUUGGGAUGCCAACUCUUCGGAGGGCUCCACCUCUUCUUACCGUUAUGAAUCAUCUCUGGGCAGUGGGUCACAUCUAGGGGGAGUGAGCGGUCGUCAGCCAAUUGCAGAGCCGUACCUCUACAGUUCCAGCUUCAAAGAUGUCCCAUCUGAGAGGGACAGCAGUGGCUACCAGACCGUCUUCCAUCGGAAAUCGUCCGGCCCGUCCUCGCUGGGAGUGGAGCCCCGCCGCGCGAUCCGUCCCGAGCUCCAGGCUCCGGCUGCCGAGAGGAAUCGAGGCGGCGAUAAGGGAUCCAAGCGUUACCUCCCGCUCUGGCCCCAGCUCCUGCUGUUUGCGAUGUUGGCCGGCUUUCUGGCCUUCGCCUAUUUCUUCCUGCAAGGCAACGUGGACGAUAACCCCUUUCUGAAGUAUCUUCAGCACUAAAGCCUCGGGCCUCUGGCGCAUCUUCUGUCUGGCUAGAACAGGGUUCCCAGAGGGUACAGGAUGUUUAUAUGGGGCUGUUGCUAAGUGCCUGCUGGUUCAUCUAAUCCCAAAGGUACGCCACCACUGAUUCUAAUCUAAACUGGAGAGGUGUAAAAGGGAUGGGGGGGGGUACCUAUGUAUGCAGGAAGCUGCCUUAUAGUGAAUUAGAGCCACUCUCCAAGUGAAGAUCUCCCAGAUAGCUAAAUCCAGUAGCACCUUAAGGUUCCAUAGCCCCAUAAAGAGACUCACAAGAGUCAAAAGCUCCCUUUCGUGCAUCAAAGCUCCCCAACCAUCGGCUUUGCUUUUUUAAAAGCUUGUACACUUAGCCGUUCCACACCGAGGCUUUCUCCAUCGCGGUUUUGAUAUAUCACAGGUCGGCAUAAGACAUUCAAGGGGGAAUCUUGGGGAAGUUUUGUGGAAACCACAGACAACACGUGAAGCAGACAACACAUAAAAAGAUUAGAAACUCAGAAAUGGAUGCAUAAAAAUAUAUGUGUAGUAUUGCGUAAUGUCCACAUGUUUUCUCUUUUAAUACCACAAGUACACACCAUUUCUUUUUUAAAGUUGAAAGAAAAGAAAAAGAAGAAAUUCAGACUUCUUCUCUGGUUCGAGAGGAGGGCCAAACAAUUUUACCUAAAUUUCCAGAUCGCCUCGGGCGGGGCAGGGGGGUCACACCCCUAACGCCAGCAGUGUGGAAGGGAUAACUGUACUCCAAGAAUCCUGUUGGUCUUUGAGUUGCUACUGGACUAUAACCUUGCUGUUCUACUACAGACCAGCACUGAAAGUAUCUUUGAGGGAGGUCUUCCACAUGACCUGCUGCCUGACGCUUUUAGCUGGAGAUGGCGUGGCUUGAAGCUGGGGUCUUCUGCAUGGGAAGCGGAUGCUCUACCACUGAGCCACGUCCCCUUCCAAAGACGUGAAGCUGCCCUACAUGGAAUCAGACAAUUGGUUCGUCAAAGUCUGCAUCGCCUACUCAGACUGGCAGCUGCUCUCCAGGGACUCAGGUUGGAGGUCUUUCCCAUCACCCACUACCUGGUCCUUCUAACUGGAGAUGCCCGGGAUUGAACCUGGCACCUUCUGCAUACUUAGCAGAGGCUCUACCACUGAGCCACCCACGGGGGUGAAGGGACUCCUGAGCACUUUUCUGAGUCGUGGCAGCUUUACUCCAUUCCUUUGCCCACCAAUCCUUAUGUCAGCUAUGUGGGGGCAUUUCUCCUGCUAAUUUUUAUAGCUUCUGCUUCAUAAUUGGGGUGGUUUUCUCUCAAGUGGGCUGAGGGGAGAGAAGGAACAGAAGGAGAAAACAUGUAACCCAUCAACAGCUUUUUAAAAGAUAUACUGAUGUAUCAAACAUUUAAUAAAUACCACUGAAGAGGGUUUUUUGUAAAAAAAAGAACACGACUCCUGGCUCAUC